GUCGCCUAAAACAGGAGGUUGUGGGUCCCGGAAAGCCUCAGAUGUGCGCUCCAGGCCUGGUGACGCUGCUCUCCAGAGAGGAUGCUCCGGGGGAAUGGGGAACACGUCCAGAAAAUAUUAAGGUGAAGGUGUCUUGGCGUUCCACAGUACUUCACAGAAUGUUCCAGUUAAAGCAAACCUAGAGCUCAUCUCGAUCUCUCUGCUCAGUGGAGAAGAGCAAUUGAUAGGCACGGGAGCAGAUGGGGACUGACAGAGCUCCUAGGCUGAAAGCUAAUUGAAGGAGACUGGGGAAGACUUUGACGGCGCUCAAAUGCCAGCAAUGAUCGGGAAAUCAAUGCAAGGAUCCAAUGAACUACACUCAGUGCAAUUUAAGGAACACUCCUAAUUUCCAAACUGGUGCUAAUAAUUUAGUCUGUCUGGUUGGCGCCCAAGGAAAGGUAAUCCAGAAUGCCUCUGUGAUAUUGUCCUAAUAGUUUUCCAUAUUUAGAGGUAUGUUACACGAGCAGAGCAUGUGAGUGUAAUGGAGCAACAGCGAUUUUCCCUCCUAGUGUUCUGUAAUCACUCCAUUCCCAGUGCCGUUCCGGCUUUUCCAUUUCCCACGUGUUUCCCACUGAUAGGAGAAAGUCCACCUCUUUCAUUCCACAGCAACAUUUAUGGGCAGUUAAUUAUCAACUGUGAACAAAUCAAUAAUGUAUGGGCACAAAAAAGUUUCCUUGUUUUAUUUUCUGUAUUUAAAGUGGACACUUUGCAUGGGUAUCACCAACAAGGCUUAGUCUUAAACCCACAUUAAAUCAAGAUCUA
This is a long non-coding RNA of Paramisgurnus dabryanus, 801 nucleotides long. RefSeq lists it as uncharacterized. Lineage: Eukaryota; Metazoa; Chordata; Actinopteri; Cypriniformes; Cobitidae. The record is from RefSeq and is a predicted model, not a curated record.